This 422-nucleotide ribosomal RNA is filed under the name uncultured bacterium. Its description in RNAcentral is "partial 16S ribosomal RNA". It matches the Rfam family "Bacterial small subunit ribosomal RNA", at positions 360 to 774 of the family's 1533-position model. The record is from RNAcentral.
AAUUUUGUACAAUGGGGGAAACCGUGAUCCAGCCAUCCCACGUGGGUGAUGCAGGGCUUCGGGUUGUAAAGUACUUUUGGUCGGGAAGAAAAGGUUCUGACAAAUAAUCAGAACUGCUGACGGUACCUGCAGAAUAAGCACCCGAAAACUCAGUGCCAGCCGCCGCGGUAGUACGUAGGGUGCAAGCGUUAAUCGGAAUUACUGGGCGUAAAGCGUGCGCAGGCGGUUUGGCAAGAAGGAUGUGAAAGCCCGGGGCUUAACCUCGCAACUGCAUUCUUAACUGCCAGGCUAGAGUAUGUCAGAGGGGGGUAGAAUUCCACGUGUAGCAGUGAAAUGCGUAGAGAUGUGGAGGAAUACCGAUGGCGAAGGCAGCCCCCUGGGGUAAUACUGACGCUCAUGCACGAACGCGUGGGGAGCAAACA